GUGUAUAUAUCUGUGAACAGAGCUCUCCUGUCAGAGACACUCUUUCCUGAUCACAUCUGAAACCUACAGCCUUAAAAAAUAAACAGGACGCGCGGUCACGAGAAUGUUUAGCAGAAGGCUGCUUAUCAUCGUCUGUCUUCAUCUCUGUGCAGGCAUUGGACAAAAUGAAGCGUGUGAACUGGCUGAAUGUUUCAACUGUUCUCAACCUCUAGGUAGAAAUAAAGCACAAGGCAGAGUCUAGAGAACCUGCUCAAUAUAUUUUACAUUCAAUUUUGUAAAUAACCUGAUUAUAUUUCUUCGUUCUAGCCCAAGCAUGUCCACUGUGCCAGUCCACGUCAAAUACCUGCACCAAUGGUCGGUUACAUUUUAUUUUUUUAUUUUUUUUGAUUCUGAAUUUAGACUGCAUUAAAAUGCUCAUUUCAUAUUUGCGUGUACAAAAAUUAGUGAAGAAAUUCUAGUUUAGGAGAAAGAAAAGUUGUGUGAUCAACAGCAAAUGCUAUGAAAUACAAAAAUAAAUUAUGAUUUUUAAUCACACGUCUGAGAUGUAAACACAAAUAAAAAAGAAUUGCAACAUAUAAACUUAGAAUUGAAAGAUAUAAAUUCAAAAUUCAGAUUAUUUUUAUUGCAAUUCUGGGAGAGAUUUUAAAUCUUACAUUUCUGUUUUUUUUUUUUCCCACCAAGGAAUAAAAAAUAAGUUUAUAUCACGCAAUUUAAUUUUUUUACUCAGAAAAGUCUGAACUGUGAGAUAGAGUUGCAAUUACUUUAUUUUUUUAUUUAUUUUUUUUAUCCUGUGGUGGAAACAAGCUUCCAUAAUCAGAAAUGUCUGAAAGAAUAAAAAAUACAAAAUAUAUAAUGACAAAAAUAAUUACGUUUUUGAGAAUGCAUUAAAUCUGUUCCCAUUCUCCUUUUCCCCAGAUAUUCUGCCAAAUUGCACGAAAAAAGAUUUUAAUGUGACCAUAAAACCCACUUCCACUAAAGUUCAAGAGGGUGUGACCGUGAUUCUUAACUGCACUCAUAACGUUCCCAAUGGCUCCAUUAGCUGGCUAAAGGACAAUGUAUUACAAGAAAACGAAAAUAAAGAAAUAUUUCAAAUCAAGUACAUUCAAAAAACCGCAGUGAUCAACUGCCAGGUUACAAGUAGUUGUGGGAACUACAACGAUACUAUAACAAUUGAAGUAGAAGCUGCUAAUAAUUUGGUGGUUUUACUGAUUUGUGUCGGAGCAGCAGCUGCUCUCCUCAUGCUGUUUGCAAUAGUCAUGAAGAUCGCACUCAAGAGAGGACAAGGUACAUUUAUAACCUUCUGCAAUUAAACAGACGCAUGUUGUCCUGUAUUUCAUAGCAUCUCUCUCUCUCUCUCUUUCAGCUCAGAGUCAGGCCAGGAAAAGACAAAGACAGCAGAACCUGGAGAACAUCCACAGCUCUGUGAACACCGUCACCAGCUACUACUGAGAGAGAGCGCUUCUGCAGCCCAAGCUCCUGAUUCAGAGACCUUUCAGUUCUACACUCCAAAUAUAUUUAGACCUAAAUUUAUGAACUGCAUAUACAAUUUCCGUCCAUCUGGAUUAUACAAUUUUAACAUAAACUAAUAAUUGAGCUUUUAACGUGAACUCUAUGAACUUUAUAUGCGAUUCAAAUCAGUUUUGCUCACAUGUUAUUAUUAAAUGAUAUGGUGUAAAGUUGACUCGCUGGAUAGAUGGCAAUGGAAUGGGGUGUUUUUUUGACUUGUUAGGUCAUCCUAAAAACACAUGCGGAAAUGAAUAAUGUGAAAUACAGUGGUCGCCUACAGUAAUCAGUGAAAACAGCAAACGAAGGAAGAUUCGUCUUUGCACCGUUUUGUGAGCAAACACUUUACAAUAAGGUUCCAAUUGUUAAUAUUAGUUAACUACAUAAACAAACAAGGAAAAAUACUUCUAAAGCAUUUAUUAGUCUUAAAUUAUGUUGAUUCCAACAUUUACUAAUACAAUAUUAACAUUAACAAGAGUUAUCUAUUAAUGUUAUUGAAUGGACCUGAGCUACCUGAACAAUGAACAGUAAACAAAGAUUAAUAAAUACUGUAAUAAUGUAUUGCUCA
This is a long non-coding RNA of Cyprinus carpio (common carp), 2071 nucleotides long. NCBI's taxonomy places the organism in Eukaryota, Metazoa, Chordata, Actinopteri, Cypriniformes, Cyprinidae. The record is from Ensembl.